GACGAACGCUGGCGGCGUGCUUAACACAUGCAAGUCGAACGGAAAGGCCCUGCUUUUGUGGGGUGCUCGAGUGGCGAACGGGUGAGUAACACGUGAGUAACCUGCCCUUGACUUUGGGAUAACUUCAGGAAACUGGGGCUAAUACCGGAUAGGAGCUCCUGCUGCAUGGUGGGGGUUGGAAAGUUUCGGCGGUUGGGGAUGGACUCGCGGCUUAUCAGCUUGUUGGUGGGGUAGUGGCUUACCAAGGCUUUGACGGGUAGCCGGCCUGAGAGGGUGACCGGCCACAUUGGGACUGCGAUACGGACCAGACUCCUACGGGAGGCAGCAGUGGGGAGUAUUGCACAAUGGGCGGAAGCCUGAUGCAGCAACGCCGCGUGCGGGAUGACGGCCUUCGGGUUGUAAACCGCUUUCGCCUGUGACGAAGCGUGAGUGACGGUAAUGGGUAAAGAAGCACCGGCUAACUACGUG
This 468-nucleotide ribosomal RNA is filed under the name uncultured bacterium. Its description in RNAcentral is "partial 16S ribosomal RNA". It matches the Rfam family "Bacterial small subunit ribosomal RNA", at positions 28 to 507 of the family's 1533-position model. The record is from RNAcentral.